GCCGGGCACGGUGGCUCAUGCCUGUAAUCCCAGCACUUUGGGAGGCUGAGGCAGGUAGAUCACCUGAAGUCAGGAGUUCGAGACCAACCUGGCCAACAUGGCGAAACCCUGUCUCUACUAAAAAUNNNNNNNNNNUUUUUGUAUUUUUAGUAGAGACAGGGUUUCGCCAUGUUGGCCAGGUUGGUCUCGAACUCCUGACUUCAGGUGAUCUACCUGCCUCAG
RNAcentral lists this signal recognition particle RNA (222 nucleotides) under Chlorocebus sabaeus (green monkey). RNAcentral's name for it is "Metazoan signal recognition particle RNA". It matches the Rfam family "Metazoan signal recognition particle RNA". From Rfam's summary of the family: The signal recognition particle (SRP) is a universally conserved ribonucleoprotein. The record is from Rfam by way of RNAcentral. Lineage: Eukaryota; Metazoa; Chordata; Mammalia; Primates; Cercopithecidae.